This 67-nucleotide microRNA precursor is filed under the name Bombyx mori (domestic silkworm). RNAcentral's name for it is "mir-2774 microRNA precursor family". It matches the Rfam family "mir-2774 microRNA precursor family". Lineage: Eukaryota; Metazoa; Arthropoda; Insecta; Lepidoptera; Bombycidae. The record is from Rfam by way of RNAcentral.
ACAACAAUUGGACAGCCGGUCUUCCGAGCAAUAUCACCCGCUCGGUGGAAGAUCUUCCCUUAGUCGU